GACGAAGGUGGCAAGCGUUGUUCGGUAUUACUGGGCUUAAAGCGUGUGUAGGCGGAAUGGUAAGCGUCUUGUGAAAUCCCUCAGCUUAACUGAGGAAUUGCUCGACGAACUGCCUUUCUUGAGGCAAGUAGGGGUGCACGGAACUCAUGGUGGAGCGGUGGAAUGCGUAGAUAUCAUGAGGAACGCCAGAGGUGAAGACGGUGCACUGGGCUUGAUCUGACGCUGAGACACGAAAGCGUGGGGAGCAAAC
RNAcentral lists this ribosomal RNA (250 nucleotides) under uncultured bacterium. RNAcentral's name for it is "partial 16S ribosomal RNA". It matches the Rfam family "Bacterial small subunit ribosomal RNA", at positions 524 to 773 of the family's 1533-position model. The record is from RNAcentral.